Neoarius graeffei (lesser salmon catfish) is the source of this 193-nucleotide long non-coding RNA. RefSeq lists it as uncharacterized. Lineage: Eukaryota; Metazoa; Chordata; Actinopteri; Siluriformes; Ariidae. The record is from RefSeq and is a predicted model, not a curated record. The transcript is spliced from 2 exons.
GUGGGGGCGUGGUCAAGCAUCGGUCUGUGACAGGAGGGUGGAGCCGGGGAAGUAAACCGCUCCCUAUUUUAAGAGGCUGAGAGAGAGCAGAGGGAGCGCGACCCGGGAGUGGAGGCUGAGAGUGUGUCUGUGUGCUGCGAGUUCUUUUAAACUGAAAAGUUUAUUAAUAAAAUACGCAGUUACUACCUCCAAA